AGCAGCCACACAUUCAAAGAGUGCGUAAUAGCUCACUGGUCGAGUGAUCCAGCGCCGAAAAUGUAACGGGGCUAAAACGCGACACCGAAGCAGCGGGAUGCGUAAGCAUCGGUAGAGGAGCAUUGUGUGAGGGUUGAAGCCAGAGCGGGAGCACUGGUGGACUUCACAGAAGAGAGAAUGCCGGUAUGAGUAGCGAGACCCAUGCGAGAAACAUGGGCGUCGAAGGCCCAAGGUUUCCUGGGGAAGGUUCAUCCACCCAGGGUAAGUCGGGACCUAAGCCGAGGACUGAGGUCGUAGGCGAUGGACAGCAGGUAGAGAUUCCUGCACCACUUACACUUGUUUGACGAAGCAGUGACACAGAAGGAUAGGACGAGCGCGGUGAUGGUCAACCGCGUAGGCGGCACGAGGCCGGGAAGCAGUGAAGUACACUUCCCGCAAAGGCUGAGUGUUGACAGGACCGAAAAGAAGUAGGGAAGCGUCCGAGUUCACGCUGGCGAGAAAAGCUGCUAAGGAGAGUGUGAGUGCCCGUACCGGAAACCGACGCAGGUGGGCGAGGAGAGAAUCCUGAGACGGACGGGAGAACUCUUGUUAAGGAACUCGGCAAAAUGACCCCGUAACUUCGGGAGAAGGGGUGCCUCGAAAGAGGCCGCAGAGAAUAGUCACAAGCGACUGUUUAGCAAAAACACAGGUAUCUGCGAAAGCGAGAGCUGACGUAUAGGUGCUGACGCCUGCCCGGUGCUGGAAGGUUAAGGGGAAGUGUUAGGGGAAACCCGAAGCAGAGAACCGAAGCCCCAGUAAACGGCGGCCGUAACUAUAACGGUCCUAAGGUAGCGAAAUUCCUUGUCGGGUAAGUUCCGACCCGCACGAAUGGCGUAACGACUUGUGAGCUGUCUCAACAGGAGGCCCGGUGAAAUUGAAGUAUGUGUGAAGAUGCACAUUACCCGCGACUGGACGGAAAGACCCCGUAGAGCUUUACUGUAACCUGACAUUGGAUCUUGAUAACGGAUGCACAGGAUAGGUGGGACGCUGGGAGACGAGGACUUUGGUUUUCGUGGAGCGGCCGUUGGGAUACCACUCUUCUGUUAUUGAGAUUCUAACCUCAAGCCGUGAGCCGGAUGAGAGACAGUGUCAGGCGGACAGUUUGACUGGGGCGGUCGCCUCCGAAAGAGUAACGGAGGCGCCCAAAGGUACCCUCAGAAUGGAUGGAAACCAUUCGAAGAGAGCAAAGUCAGAAGGGUGCUUGACUGCGAGACCAACAAGUCGAGCAGGUACGAAAGUAGGGCUUAGUGAUCCGGCGGUAAGAGAGUGGAAUUGCCGUCGCUCAACGGAUAAAAGCUACCUCGGGGAUAACAGGCUGAUCUCCCCCAAGAGUUCACAUCGACGGGGAGGUUUGGCACCUCGAUGUCGGCUCAUCGCAUCCUGGAGCUGAAGUCGGUUCCAAGGGUUGGGCUGUUCGCCCAUUAAAGCGGUACGCGAGCUGGGUUCAGAACGUCGUGAGACAGUUCGGUCCCUAUCUGUCGUGGGCGCAGGAAAUUUGAGAAGAGCUGUCCUCAGUACGAGAGGACCGGGAUGGACGCAUCAAUGGUGGACCAGUUGUCACGCCAGUGGCAUAGCUGGGUAGCUAAAUGCGGAAGGGAUAAACGCUGAAGGCAUCUAAGUGUGAAACCCACUUCAAGAUGAGAUUUCCCAUUGCGCAAGCAAGUAAGACCCCUUAAAGACGAUAAGGUAGAUAGGUCAGGAGUGUAAGCAUGGUGACAUGUUAAGCGGACUGAUACUAAUAGGUCGAGGGCUUGACCGA
Molecule: ribosomal RNA, 1798 nt
Filed under: human gut metagenome
Description: bacterial LSU rRNA
Rfam family: Bacterial large subunit ribosomal RNA
Source: RNAcentral